This is a long non-coding RNA of Sinocyclocheilus rhinocerous, 616 nucleotides long. RefSeq lists it as uncharacterized. The record is from RefSeq and is a predicted model, not a curated record. The transcript is spliced from 2 exons. NCBI's taxonomy places the organism in Eukaryota, Metazoa, Chordata, Actinopteri, Cypriniformes, Cyprinidae.
GCCGAGUAGAUAAAAACAUGAGCCUUUUAGAUGUUAAAGGGAUCAAUUCUGUCAUCGGUUACUCGGCCUCAUGUCAGUCCAAACCCAUUUCUAAGCAGGGUUUCAUGAAGGACUUUAAGAAGUCUUGAAUUCACCUUCAUGGAACCAGCAGAAGCCCUGCAUCAUGAGCGGACUUUAAUGUAAAAGGCAAGAUAAAAAAGAAUCACAUGAUAUUUGUAAAUAAAUUAAUUUUAUUUGAGACAGAUGGGGCUGUGCGUUGUCGAUGGCUUCAUGUCUGUAACCAGUAUUACCAUUAUUACGGUUUAUAAAGCCAUGCCGUUGAUGAUUAAAGUUACAUUUUAUUCAUAUAAUAUAAUGUUUUCCUCUGAAAACCCCCACUGAUGAUCAUGAGAGCCAUGCCGGAGCUGCUGCAGAACUUUACAUGUCGCACUAAACUGUACUGAAAUCCCCAGAGACACAAAAAACAAAAACACACAUAUCCCAGAACAGACCCGAUUCUAGUUUCUUUUAACUGCUUGUGAAAAGUCUGUCUCUGUGUCUUUAUUCUUCUCUUCUCAGGUUCAUCGAUGAAGAUAAAAGGGCAAGACGUCCUGCUCGUGCCGAUGAGAAAAAAGGU